UACAGAGGUCUCAAGCGUUUGUUCGGAUUCAUUGGGCGUAAAGGGUGCGUAGGCGGCGAGGUAAGUCGGAUGUGAAAUCCCGGGGCUCAACCCCCGGAACUGCAUUCGAUACUGCUUUGCUUGAGUACUGGAGAGGAGACUGGAAUUUACGGUGUAGCAGUGAAAUGCGUAGAUAUCGUAAGGAAGACCAGUGGCGAAGGCGAGUCUCUGGACAGUUACUGACGCUGAAGGCACGAAGGCCCAGGGGGAGCAAAACGGGGAUU
Molecule: ribosomal RNA, 263 nt
Filed under: uncultured bacterium
Lineage: Bacteria
Description: partial 16S ribosomal RNA
Rfam family: Bacterial small subunit ribosomal RNA
Source: RNAcentral